Molecule: ribosomal RNA, 774 nt
Filed under: uncultured Neocallimastigales
Lineage: Eukaryota; Fungi; Neocallimastigomycota; Neocallimastigomycetes; Neocallimastigales
Description: partial large subunit ribosomal RNA
Rfam family: Eukaryotic large subunit ribosomal RNA
Source: RNAcentral
GUAGUCUCGCACAGAUGCAUAUCAAUAAGCGGAGGAAAAGAAACUAACAAGGAUUCCCCUAGUAACGGCGAGUGAAGCGGGAAGAGCUCAAAUUUGAAAUCUUAAAGGGUUUCCCUUUACGAAUUGUAGUUUAAAGAAGUGUUUUCUGUUGAGGUUUUGGUAAAAGUUCUUUGGAAUAGGACAUCAUAGAGGGUGAGAAUCCCGUAUUUGACCUUUACUUUCAACUUUGUGAUACACUUUCAAAGAGUCGGAUUGUUUGGGAAUGCAGUCCAAAAUGGGUGGUAAAUUUCAUCUAAAGCUAAAUAUUGGCGAGAGACCGAUAGCGAACGAGUACCGUGAGGGAAAGAUGAAAAGAACUUUGAAAAGAGAGUCAAACAGUACGUGAAAUUGUCAAAAGGGAAGCGUUUGACACCAGUGUUGUUUUUCUGAAAAUCAAUUAAAGAACUGUUUAUGCUAAGCUGUUUAGACUUUAUCAGCUAUCUGUUUAGUUUUGAGCUUUUCUUUAAUGCACUUUUCAGUUAACAAGUCAACAUCAAUUUCUUUUGCUGUAAAAAGGCUUGAGGAAGGUGGCUUGAGAUUCGUCUUAAGUGUUUAUAGCCUCUUGCCUAUGCAGUCGGAGAGAUUGAGGUCUGCAGCGUAGAUCCUUCGGGGCUAAAUGCAUUUGUGCUAAGUUAUAACAUUUUAUAGACAACCUGUUGACUAUGAUUUGUCUUGUAGCUUACUCGCUUAUGUUAUUUUACCUACGCUUAGGAUGUUGAUCUGUAGUGCGUGCGC